ACCUGGUUCAAGUCCUCCCGCUACCCAUUAUAGUUUAAUAGCUUGCCUCAUCCAGUUGAGGGCCUGAAUGCUGAUUUCAAAGUAUGUGUGUAGUUUUUGCACUUGAUGAAUAAUAUAUUGUAAGUAUAUAUAUCAUCAAGGCUUUUGCUGGCAGAUGAUAUUUUUUAAAGGGCUUAUUGGCAUUUUGUUGUUUACUUUUGUGAAAAAGGAAGUUUCCUGUAUUUAUCCACCCCCUCACUUUUUAUAUGUGGAACCUUCAAAUGAUGAAGACCCACAUCAUUGUUGCUGUUGGUAACAAAACGUCAAUAGGUUACUCAUCUGCUUUAGUGUUUCCCCUGCAUUUCAAAUCUUACAACUCAGUUUGCAUCUUACUCCAUCUUUUUAGUAUCCAAACAGGUGGGUAGCGCAACUGCUGUUUUUCAGACAGGCAUAUGCUCAGCUAGGCAUUUUUUUGGUUCUCUUGGCUUCCUCUGUUCUUGUUAUCACAUGGCUCAAAUUAAGAACUAUUACAUUGUUGAUGGAAGUAGCUUUGCUAGUCAAUGUAAUAGUGGAUAUUUGCUCAAUAUCCAAUAUUUAACCAAACGAAUAUCUUACUCAUCAAGGGGCCCAGUGCUGCGAUCCAAAAUGCAUGAAUUUGUUGGGGAAGAGAAGAAUGAUGAUCCUUAGGUGCAGUGUUCUCUACAACUGGAAAAGGCAUCAGACAAAAAGGGGUGGUUUGAUAUUCACAGCGGUGAUAUAGCCAAGCUUGGGCUGAGCUAUAUGACAACGUCAGUUUUCGCGCAUCAUGUUUGCCACAUUUCUUGAUCAAAAGUGAUAUGUAGAACUGUGGGUGCCAGCGUGAAUGAAAAGUCCCACAGAAAUAGAGAUAACCAAAAUUGGUAGCCCUUGGUUUUAAUGAUAAUAGAGUAUAGUAAAUAUUUAUAAUGGUGAUGUUUUGUGUAUUAUAUAAAAAUUAGCUCAGCUUGUACUUGAUAUGACUUCCAUAAUGCACCACCUAGUGUAAAAAUAUAUAUCAUGCAUGGUUGAAUUGACGCUUGAUCGAUA
Carya illinoinensis is the source of this 1044-nucleotide long non-coding RNA. RefSeq lists it as uncharacterized. Lineage: Eukaryota; Viridiplantae; Streptophyta; Magnoliopsida; Fagales; Juglandaceae. The transcript has 3 exons. The record is from RefSeq and is a predicted model, not a curated record.